GGACUUGUCUAGAUCUAUAAUGACUGCUUAGUUUGAAAGGCUAGAAGUACGACGGGAUUACGCCGGAGACGAUGAGUUUGGCUGACGGGAGAUGUAGGGUUUUUUACAGAAAAAGGUGUCUUCGGUAAAAGAUAAAAAACAUAUUACAGUAAUUAAUAAAACAAAAAAAAAAAAAAGUUAAUCGUUGGGUUGGUUGGGGUAGCAAGCUUUCAUUAGUUGAAGGGGUAGUAAUGAAAUAUCACAUAAGAAAACGGUGCCUUGGACACAAACGGUGUCUUCCUGUUAUACAAAACACAUAAACG
RNAcentral lists this long non-coding RNA (302 nucleotides) under Capsella rubella. RNAcentral's name for it is "long non-coding RNA (CRUB_LNC003151)". Lineage: Eukaryota; Viridiplantae; Streptophyta; Magnoliopsida; Brassicales; Brassicaceae. The record is from RNAcentral.